This is a non-coding RNA of Caretta caretta (loggerhead turtle), 1090 nucleotides long. The record is from RefSeq and is a predicted model, not a curated record. Lineage: Eukaryota; Metazoa; Chordata; Testudines; Cheloniidae.
GUAGGUGGGGCCUUGGGCAGCCCCCGGUAAUAGAGUGUGGUCUGAGGUUGUCCCUUCUGGUAUCUGCUCCAACUGCGACCAGUUUUUUUCUUCUCUGCCACCUCCACCCAUUUGGUUCCAAUCUCCCCCCGCCUCGAUUACAGUUUUGGGUUUCCCAUCUAGGAUGUAACCUUGUAUUUCCUCAGGAACACCCUCUAAGAACUGUUCCAUUUGCAUUAGGAAGGGCAAAUCUACUGGAGAUUCAACACUUGCUCCUGAUAUCCAGGCAUCCCAAUGUUUCACAAUGUGGUAGGCAUGUCAGAGGGAUAUUAUUGAUUCCCAAAAACAAGGCAGUGCCUAUCCUCCACACUAGCUCUAGGUGCUGCAAGAAAGAACCCACAUGGACAUGCCUUGGGAACUGCUAACUUGUCAGAAAAGAAGCUUAUGUGGCUAUUACCUAUGCUAUUCCAUUGGGGUUAACAUAUAACGGAAUAAAUUAGCAACAUUUUAUAUUGAGAAAAAUUUUAUGGAUGUAAUGGUCCAAGAUAUGCUUUCAUCUGCACUGCUGCAACACCACUGAAUUUGCCCACGUGUAACUGAGAACAGAGUAUGGCCCAAUAUGUUGUGUGUAUAGAUAUGACAAAUCUUCAAUUACAAAAAUGGGAUGAACAUUUGUGUUUUUGAUAUUUUUCCUUUGAUCUGUAACAAUUCUUCCACCUUAAACUCUCAAGUUAAAAGGAGCUUUGCUUCUGUCUAGGUGGGUAAAGUGCCCUCCUAAGUGUCUGAUACAAAUUUCAGUUCAUGAAUCAGCUAAUCAGAUGCAUCUCUGCAUGGAAUUGAUACCGCACUCUCAAUUUCUGACAGACAGGUUGCACAUCAUACAAACUAUAAUCAUACAUGGAACUAAUUGACACCCUGCUAGCAGUUUCAGCAGACAGUCCUAAGAUUGAAUAAGCAUGGAUACUAACUCAUUGUUGUAUUCUUAGAGGUGGUCCCUCUAAGUGUUGAGGCAUGCUAGCAGGGUGCUGUGUGGGUUGAUGCUGUACCUGUUCUGUGAAUAAGCAGAUUCCAGUCUCCAGAGCUGUUUAAUCUGGCACUUUUCAUGAGCAUU